RNAcentral lists this ribosomal RNA (474 nucleotides) under uncultured bacterium. RNAcentral's name for it is "bacterial SSU rRNA". It matches the Rfam family "Bacterial small subunit ribosomal RNA", at positions 9 to 483 of the family's 1533-position model. The record is from RNAcentral.
GAGUUUGAUCCUGGCUCAGGAUGAACGCUGGCGGCGUGCUUAACACAUGCAAGUCGAGCGAAGCAUUUAGGAUGAUCUCUUCGGAUUGAGUCUUAUAUGACUGAGCGGCGGACGGGUGAGUAACGCGUGGGUAACCUGCCUCAUACAGGGGGAUAACAGUUAGAAAUGACUGCUAAUACCGCAUAAGCGCACAGGGCUGCAUGGCCUGGUGUGAAAAACUCCGGUGGUAUGAGAUGGACCCGCGUCUGAUUAGCUAGUUGGAGGGGUAACGGCCCACCAAGGCGACGAUCAGUAGCCGGCCUGAGAGGGUGAACGGCCACAUUGGGACUGAGACACGGCCCAGACUCCUACGGGAGGCAGCAGUGGGGAAUAUUGCACAAUGGGGGAAACCCUGAUGCAGCGACGCCGCGUGAAGGAAGAAGUAUCUCGGUAUGUAAACUUCUAUCAGCAGGGAAGAAAAUGACGGUACCUGAC